CUGAGCCUUCAGAACUGCGAUCCUGGCUUCCGGAAAGGGACUGCUGGGGAAGUGGGAGGGUGGGAACGCUACAGGUUUAUGAAUUAUGCAUCAAAGUACAAGAGAGUUUCUGGCUUAAAGAGGAUGACCAUCGCCAAUAGGAGAGGACUGUUCCUCCCUCAGCGGUGUACAAGUAGCUGGGCUGCCCUUCUGGAACCUCCAGACAAACUCUCAAAGAAGAAACUCUUCACAUUGCAUUGCUGAGUGCAUAGUAAGUGCUGAAUAAAUACUGUUUCAGUGAAUGAAUUCUGCCGCAAGCCUGUACCUGAUGUGGCCAGAAUCCUUCUGGGCUCUUUUGGAUGAAGCAGAACUGAGGUGCUUCCCAUUAACAGGAAUAGCUCUUGACUGAGAAAGCAAGAUUACCUUAACAAAUACCAUGAGUCCCCAAUUUGAACAUUUGAGUUGCACAUGAACUGGACCCUGCAUGUAAACAUUUGCAGAUGGAACAAAUCGUGGAAGUAGCUCAGGUGUCUGCCAGACAUUGUCGCAGUUGUGCUGCUGUGUGCUUAUGUAUCGCUUGAUAGUGUACAGCAGUACAGUGCUCAGUCAGAGCCCAGGAUGUCUGGAAGAGGAAAAGCAGUGGUGCUGUGGAGGAGACUGCAAGGAAGCACAAAGCAAUAACCAUGCAAACAAAAGUAGAAAUAAUUGAGAGACUGAACCAGGCGAAAAGAUGGUAGAUGUCACUUUUUUUUUUUUGGUCUUUAUGAGACAGGGUCUCACUAUGCAGCUGAGGCUGGUCUUGUGCUCACUUUGAAGCGCAAGCUCGUCUCCAACUCACAACAAUCCUCCUGCCUCAGCCUCCCGAGUGCUGGGAUUACAGGUGUGCGCCAUCACGCCCAGCUCAUCACUUGUUCUUAAAACGUGAAUCGUUCAACCAUUGGCACAAUUCUAAAGAAUAAGGACAAGAUCGUGGAACAUGUGAAGCCCACUGUGCCAACAAAACCAGUAAUAUCCAAACAUCAAGGUACAGUGACAGAACAUGCAUGGAGAAACUUCUCCAGUUUUUUUUUUGUUUGUUUGUUUGUUUGUUUGUUUGUUUUCCAGUACCAGGAAUCAAAUUCACAACCUCGUGUUUGCCAGGCAAAUGCUGAGAAACUUCUCAGUGUGUGGAUGCAGGGUCAAUGUCAGCAUCAAGUCCCACUCAGCUUAAUGAUUAUUCAAGAAAAAGCGAAAAGCCUGUUUGAAGACUUGAACAAAAACCAAAGUGAACAGGGUGCAUCUUUUCCUGCCAGCCAUGGGUGGUCUAAUAGAUUCAAGGCUAGAGCCAACCUUCAGAACGGAAAAGUAAGUGGUGAGGCUUCAAGUGCAGAGACCAUAGCUGCCCAAGAAUUUCCAGCAACACUUGAUAAUGAUGAGCGAGCCACUACUCAACUAUCAAUUGGAUCAUUUUUUCAAGGGGGCAGACAGAAUUGAAUCUAUCAAAAAACCUGUGUCACCAACAUCAGGUGGGACCAAAUUCCAUCUUACCCUCCAUGUCCUAUUGCUGGUGAUCCUUCAGCUCGACCAUCUCUCACCUACCCUCCCUCCUCCAGCCGGUAACUCUUCUUGUCCAUUCACUCUGUGUGAUCCCCUUUAUGCCACUAUAGUGAACCACCAUUUUAAGGUAACUGCAAAAGUAGUUUAUUUACAGUUGUACUGUACUGCCAUUUUAAGGUAACUGUAAAAGUAAAAAGUUUAUUUAUUGUA
Chinchilla lanigera (long-tailed chinchilla) is the source of this 1725-nucleotide long non-coding RNA. RefSeq lists it as uncharacterized. The transcript has 2 exons. Lineage: Eukaryota; Metazoa; Chordata; Mammalia; Rodentia; Chinchillidae. The record is from RefSeq and is a predicted model, not a curated record.